This is a long non-coding RNA of Balaenoptera musculus (blue whale), 1987 nucleotides long. RefSeq lists it as uncharacterized. The record is from RefSeq and is a predicted model, not a curated record. Lineage: Eukaryota; Metazoa; Chordata; Mammalia; Artiodactyla; Balaenopteridae. The transcript has 4 exons.
GGUGGGGCUUGGCUUUAGUAUUUGCCCUGGAGACAUAAUAUUUCCGCAGGUUUUGUGAAGGGACAGUCUCCUACGAGGAUAUUAGUAGCAGUGUUUUUUAAACUGGAAGAAAGUCAAGGAGAGGUAGGAGAUAAAUGCAGUAAGGAUGCUGAUACUCUUAAUGGAACUGAAAUCUAACAAGUGUUCUCAGGCAACCUCUGGAGGAAUCCAGCACACGCGGAAUAUCUGCAGCCACCCCACAGCACAUCCCCAGAGCUUCAGCUCAAGAGUUUUGAGGGAGAGGAAACAGAUACCACUUGCUGGGAGAGUUAUGUGAAGGGAGGAUGCCUCCUCAUCCCCGGUGAGCUAAAUGGAACCAUACUGGGCCCUCCCCAUGCCGCACAGGAGAGAUGCUUUGCAAGGGAGUGAAAUGUUUUAUUGAAGAAACUCCAAGGAGGGAGGAAAGAAGCCCAAGCAAGGGGAAGCCUGACAGGUGGGCAGAUGGAAACAGCCCCUUUCGUGCAUGUGGCUAGAAGCUGGAAGUCCGUCCCUCGGAAGGCAUAGCAGCUGUCCACAGAUCCGGGAUGCCUUUCAUCUGCCUCCUCUUGGCUUUGGACUGAUGGGAACUGAGAAAUCCACAGCCAUCCUGUGAGAAAUGGAAAUGGGGGCCCACUUUCAGGCUCCACUCAGCUGAUAGCAAAUGGGACAGAGCCCCUGGAGUCUGCAAACUGGGGCCUUCUAUUCAAUUUUGCCACUUCUGUAAAAUGAGGAUAAAAGAGAUCUCUUUUCCUGAGUGGUUGUGAAGAUUGAGGGAAAUUAUGUAUGGGAAUUGCCUGGCAUGUAACAGGUACUCAACAAAUGUCUCUUCCAUGCUCCUCUUUCCCAGAAGUUCUCAACAGCUAUAUAGUCAAAAUAUCAUGGACUAGUCAUUUAUUCCUUAGGUCAGUUUUCUCAAGAGAAAAAACAAAAAGGAAGUAAUGAGACCCUCUUCUCCUGGGACAAUAGGAAACCACAAAUGUGAGCUCCCAAUUAAAUCCAAGGAUUAUUAGUUAGCAAUAACUGUACUUUGGAUAAACUUCUCAAGUGCUGGUAUUGCUACUACACAAGGAUAUUAAUGAAUAAUAGGUAAACAUAUCUUUUCGUUUGACAGUUUACAAAGCUUGAGGGCCAUUUCAGUGAUCACGGCUUGUACUUUUACAGGUCUUAUCUUACCCAGUUGGAUAGUCAUCAAUUAAAAAUUUAUUAAGCAUGUUAAAUAAUAUUGCGAGAUAUAGAUGGGCUCCCUGAGUUGCCACCAUGACUUUUAGAAUAACAUCUAGGGGCUAUGGGAACACAGCCCUUUCCCACAUAGUUCUAGAGUCACCAUGUUUUCUACAAUAAUCUGGUUAAAUAUUCCCUCCACAGAAACAUGUGUAUUGAAAUGUUCUCCAGACCCCUCUUGAUCGCCAAAUGUAGAGGAAGCGUCAGUCUUUAUCCCACUGCUGCUCUGGCCACAUUUGUCACCCUGGACCUCCUUGCAGACCCUUGGUGUGAGUGAGGCUAUUGGCUCCUAGCUCUUAUCUCUUUUAAUGUCACUUUUCAGCUCCUCCUUGGCCUCCACUCCUCCUGCACCUUUCACUCCUAGGAGGUUUCACCCUUCACCACUCUCUUUUCACUCUAUGGGCUCCACCUUAAUUGACACCAUCUUUUCUCUCCUGGAUGUCCUCACCUCUCAUACUCUGAUGCCUGAUACAGCAGAGACAGUAAUGCUCACCACAAACAAUAUUUGUUCCUUUACAUUUCCCAGCCCCUGCAUUUAGGUGGGGCCAUGAAACCAUCUCUAGCAGUGAUAUGUGAGCAGAUAUGAUGUAUGUCACUUCCAGCUCAGGGGGUAGAAGGCCAUGUGUGAUUCUUUAGUCUCUCUCUUCUCUUGCCAAGGUGACUGAGGAGGACUUGUGUUCUAGAUGCUGAAGUUACAAGAUGAUACAACUUUGUCAACUUGGGUCCCUGGGUGAUGAUGUAGAACACA